AUGGCACCGUCGUUUCGACUUGCGUCCACUUACACCUGCCGCAGACGCAGCCUUGGAUUCCCAAACACAAAGUGGGGAGCAGAUUUAAAGGAAGCCAGGGCGUACAGAAGCUCCUGUUCAGGUGCUCCCUCCUGGAUACCGGCCCACGGGAGGGCUCCCACAGGAUACAGUGGACCCCCGGGAACUCGGCGCGAGCUUCAGCGGCCAACUCACGUCCACACAGCGCCAAACCCGGGGCCGCACAACUCUCCGGGAGCAGCCAUGCCUGGGGUCGGCCCGGAGCGCGCGGCUGGCUUCACAGCAGCCCAGAUCCCCCACUCGGACCUCCAGGGCCCAGCGGAGUCAGCGCGCGUAUCCGCACCGCUACCCGCGCAGCCCCGCACCACCCACACCCCGACACGCCAACCGGGCCCGGCGGGACACGCGGCGACCGGGGCGACCCGCACCCGCACCCGCUUAGCCCCGCACCACCCACACCCCGACACGCCAACCGGGCCCGGCGGGACACGCGGCGACCCGGGCGACCCGCACCCGUACCCGCACAGCCCCGCACCACUCACAACCCAACACACCAACCGGGCCGGUGGGACACGCAGCGACCCGGCAACCCGCACCCGCACAGUCCCGCACCACUCACACCCCGACACGCCAACCGGGCCCGGCGGGACACGCGGCGACCCGGGCGACCAGCACCACCCACAAGCCGACACGCCAACCGGGCCCGGCGGGACACGCGACGACCCGGCAGCCCGCACCCACGCAGUCCCGCACCACCCACAACCCGACACGCCAACCGGGCCCGGCGGGACACGCGGCGACCCGGCAACCCGCACCUGUACCCGCGCAGCCCCGCACCACCCACAACCCGACAUGCCAACCGGGCCCGGCGGGACACGCGACGACCCGGGCGACCCGCACCCGCACAGUCCCGCACCACCCACAACCCGACACGCCAACCGGGCCCGGCGGGACACGCGGCGACCCGGGAGUCCCGCACCACCCACAACCCGACACGCCAACCGGGCUCGGCGGGACACGCGACGACCCGGCAGCCCGCACCCAUACCCACGCAGCCCCGCACCACCCACACCCCGACACGCCAACCGGGCCCGGCGGGACACGCGACGACCCGGGCGACGGCGCGGGAAAGUUCGAGGCCCGUCCCCACGCACAACCCAAGCGAAAACGACGGCGACGGCCAAACCUCACCGGGCAGCAGGGACGCCGCGGGCGACCCCAGGAAGCCUCCAGCGGGGGACGUGCGGGCGCGACGGCGGCGGACGGAGCAAGGGUCAGGCAAACAACAUGGAGGGCAGCAGCAACUUCACAAAAAAAGAUGAGCCAGAUGAAUAA
Oryctolagus cuniculus (rabbit) is the source of this 1353-nucleotide long non-coding RNA. Lineage: Eukaryota; Metazoa; Chordata; Mammalia; Lagomorpha; Leporidae. The record is from Ensembl.